GGCCCGUUCGUCUAGGGGUUAGGACGCGUCCUUUCACGGAUGAAACAGGGGUUCGAUUCCCCUACGGGCUACCA
RNAcentral lists this transfer RNA (74 nucleotides) under Flavobacteriales bacterium. RNAcentral's name for it is "tRNA-OTHER". It matches the Rfam family "tRNA". From Rfam's summary of the family: Transfer RNA (tRNA) molecules are approximately 80 nucleotides in length. Lineage: Bacteria; Pseudomonadati; Bacteroidota; Flavobacteriia; Flavobacteriales. The record is from RNAcentral.